RNAcentral lists this long non-coding RNA (5586 nucleotides) under Sus scrofa (pig). RNAcentral describes it as "lncRNA (ENSSSCG00035042094.1)". The record is from RNAcentral. Lineage: Eukaryota; Metazoa; Chordata; Mammalia; Artiodactyla; Suidae.
ACAGGUGAAGAAACGGAACCCAGGGAGAUUGUAAGAUACGUGUUCAGGGGCACACUCUGAACUGGGAAGUAGGACUUCUGUCCAUUUCUGAUCUUGGAGAAUGCUGCGCACAAGGUGUAAAGAAAGCCUGCCAGACAGCAGAACAUUAAUUAAGGACCUUAAAGCUUCUGUGGCAUGAUGCCAGUAAGGCUGUGCACCCAAGCUGGUGGUAGUUAAGAAAAAGAAAUAUCAGAUACAUUGACAUCACAGCACUGAAGCUAACAUUUAUCAUGUUUUUGCCACGUGCCAAAUACUUGUAUCGCUUUAUGAAAUCCAUGAACUAGUUCGAAGAUGUUAUUUACUGCUCUUCUCCUUUUGCAGAAGAAACGGAAGCUGAUGGUGACUUGCCCUAGUCACAUGGCUCCUAAGAAGGAGAAGAAGGAUGGGAUUUGACUCGGUUUAGUUCCAGAGCCCAGUCUUUUGCCACAUUCGAGGGUUACUUCCAACAGUGUUAAAUGCAAAAGGACUCAGUUCCUAAAAUAAAUUUGUUAACAUUCACCCAUUUCUCUGAGGUUAUUCAUCACCAUUUUACUGUGCCCUUUUGGUAAUGCUUUUUUUUUUUUUUUUUUUGAAACCAGGAGGCUUUUAGGCAGACUCCAGUAGUAUAUUCUGUUAUAGUGUUUAUGUUUAUAAUGAUAGGAAAAAGUAAUGGCUUUUGUGUUGUGGGAUUAACAUGAAUUUAGAAGUAUUGCUACCCUUUGCUGUAUCAAAGUAUAGACAUACACCUGCUUGUCUUUCAGGCAGGCUUUUUGAAAUCAACGAAUCAUUCUAAGUGUUUCCAUGAAUUUAGACCCCAGCCUAAGUGACAUGGCGCUCAGUCCGUUAUUUUUACUAAUAGGAUUCCCGCCAGUGUUCCACCCACUGGUGACGGCUCCGCAGUCCUUAGCCGUGUGCGGGUGGCUGUCAGUUACCAGGAGAGCCGCCCCAUGUCCUUGGCCCCAGCCUUAGUAUCCGUAUUUGACAAACAGAGUGGAGUUUAGCUCUGAAUGUCCAAAAUGCUUUGCAUUCGCACAUCUUAAAUAACUUCUUUCAACAAAUAACUAAUCGUGGUAUGACUGCCGUAUCCCAUAACACAGAUCCUCAACCAUAGUGUUAGCCGUCAUUGUUGUAAUUAGAGAGGAAUGAAUCAAGCUUCAUUUGGGAUUUGUAAAAUUACCUCCAGCUAUCUCUCCAACAUUUUGAAAUAUAUUUUACAACAUUUCUCAAACAGACUUUACCAAGCAUAUUUUCUCUAAUUUUUAAUGAAAUCCCCUUGUGUAUUUUAAGGGAAAUUUAAUCCGUAAGUUUGUGAUUGAUUUGUGCUUAACUCAUCAAAGUUAAUUUUUAAGAACAGUUUGGUUUCCAAGAAGCCUUAGGAAACGCUUCUCAUGAAUUCUGUCAGCCUUUAAAAGCCUUUUCCCUAAUCACCCUUUUCCCCUCAGAGAUACAUGUGUAUGAAAUAUUUUAGUGUGGUGUACAGGGCAGAGCCUGUAUUUCUAAAUCUAAGCUAGUUCUGCAUUUAGCAUAAUAAGGGAGUCUGCCUUUCGUGUAAGAACUCCCUUCAGUUGUCUUUUCUUCAAAGCACGGCUCUGUGAAGAGCUGCUAAUGGCAGUGCUCUCUUGAAAACCCAGCGCACAACGGUGCCAGCCGUCUCCCCAAGUCGCAGCUCGGGGGACAGUGUGAGCUGAGCAGACCCAACGGGCUGCAGUGGCUGUUUAUCGGGGAGCCAUCCUGUCUGCUGAGUAGAUGCGGUGUUUCUGCCUCCUCAGAUACGCAUGUCCACACUCGCACCAUGCUUAAACUCUUAGGGCUUAGCUUUUUUUGUUGUGACCGCUACUUCUACACUCUAACAAGACAGUACUGGGUGCUGGCUUAAAUUAAUAAUUUAUUGUGAAAUGACCGUAAUUGUUCUCGUCUCUCUUGAGAACUGUUUUUCACCUGAGAUUUAGUUCUACAGGUUCCUGUUGCCUAGCAGUGGGUCUUUGAGAACAGCUUUUUGUCUAGUUUUAAUUGAACGGGCUGAUUGUCUGAAAUCUUCUUAGAAGAAAGUAAGGUUAUUGCAGUGAAGGUAAAAGGAAAUAUGGUGACAACUAAUGGGACAAAAUGUCAUCCAGCACAGCAGCUCUGGGAGAGAUUUGCAGAAACACAGCAACGUUAAGAAUGGAGUUUGCUCAAGGCAGCCCUUAGGAACUGCAUCCAGAGAUAGUCAUGGUAAAAGAAAAACACCAUUUUCUGGGUUCUCGUUAGGGAAUUGUAGGAAAUGGGUAUUUUCUGCUUACAAGAAACAACCUCUUUAGUUCCUAUUCUGUUUUUUUUUUUUUUUUUUUUUUUUUAGGGCCACACCCGCGAUGUAUGGACAUUCCCAGACUCAGGGUCCAUUCGGAGCCUACACCGCAGCCACAACAACGCCAGAUCCUUAACCCGCUGAGGGAGGCCAGGGAUUGAACGUGCAUCAUCAUGGUUUCUAGUGGGAUUCAUCUCCGCUGUGCCACUGUGGGAGCUCCAUUUAGUUCCUAUUCUUUUUUUUUUUUUUGUCUUUUUGCCUUUUUUGGGGCCACUCUUGCAGCAUAUGGAGGUUCCCAGGCUAGGGGUCUAAUCGGAGCUGUAGCCACUGGCCUGCGCCACAGCCACAGCAACGAGGCAUCCAAGCCGUGUCUGCAACCCACACCACAGCUCGCGGCAACGCCGGAUCCUCAACCCACUGAGCAAGGCCAGGGAGUGAACCUGCAACCUCAUGGUUCCUAGUCGGAUUCGUUAACCACUGUGCCACAACGGGAACUCCUUAGUUCCUAUUCUUAAUGAAAACAUUUUCUGCCUGAAUUUUUUAGUGUGGCGUUAUUAAACAAUGAAAACAUCUUUUCCAUACUUUUCAAAGUCUACCAGUUCCCUAUAUGUUUUGUUGGUUUGUACUAUAAAUGAACUCUAAAUAUUUUAGGAAAAAGUUUUAUGAUAGAUAAGUUCUUUUUAAAAUUUAGCACCUAAUUUUUUUAAAAUCAAAAUGAAAAAUUUCUUGCAUAAAGGGGAACGUUUACCUUUUACUUUGUUUUUCUUCCAUGUGGUAAAUCUUUUCCUUUACAAAGGAAGUGUGCUUACAGAAUUACUGAGGUGGUUUUUAGAAAGCAGUAAUCAUAGAAACCCCGUCCGUGCUUGCCCUAAUCUGUCUCCCCAAAGCCCUUGGUCUGAAAGCCAGCCGUGGCUCUUGUCCUUAUUACAUGUGACUCGUGGAACAGGAUUGUGCUGUUCACUGUGUACACUGGCACGGUGCCCUAGCAGCCCCUGUGAUGCUGCCUCAACAUCAGGAAGCUGUUUGUGAGUUUUACACCGUAUUGUAUACUAUAUUACAGUGUAUUUACUCUGUUGAUAAGUUACAGAAUAUCUGUAGUAUUUCUGCAUAAUCUAUAAAAAUACGACAUUAGAAAAUCUAGGGACUGUAAAUAUGAAAACAUGAAAAAAAGUUCUUUGGCACAAAAUCCCCUCCAAAAUAUGAAUAAUAUUUGCAUUGAGAGCCAUGAGAUUAAAUAUGCUUCAUUUUAUUAAAAAAUACUUUGGGUGAGACUAACUGGGUAUGGCGAUUUGGUUAAUUUUAGUGCAAAAUAGGAAUAAUAUUUGCAUUAAGAGCCAUGAGAUUAAAUAUGCUUCAUUUUAUUUAAAAAUACUUUGGGCGAGGCUAACUGGGUAUGGCGAUUUGGUUAAUUUUAUGCAAAAUAGGAAUAAUAUUUGCAUUAAGAGCCAUGAGAUUAAAUAUGCUUCAUUUUAUUUAAAAAUACUUUGGGCGAGGCUAACUAGGUAUGGCAAUUUGGUUAAUUUUAGUGCAAAAUAGGAAUAAUACUUGCACCGAGAGCCAUGAGAUUAAAUAUGCUUCAUUUUAUUUAAAAAUACUUUGGGCGAGGCUGACUAGGUAUGGCAAUUUGGUUAAUUUUAGUGCUUUUUUUAUUUUUAUUAUUUUUGGCUGUGCCUGUGGCACACGGAAUUUCCUGGGGUCUAACCCGCACCUCAGCAGCAACCCAAGCCUCUGCAGUGACAACGCUGGAUCCCUGACCCGUUGUGCCACGAGAGAGCUCCCAGGUGCUUAGUUUUAAUGACUUUUGUAGAUAAAAAUGUUAUUUUCACAAAAGUGUGUAGAUCUAAGUGGAAGAAAUAAAUCAUUGGCUGCAGUUCAAAGUCAUGAGCUUCAUUUUUGAAUCAUGCCCGCUAAUUAUGCAGAAGUUUUCAUUUAACUUGGGCUGUUAAAUGUGCAUUGUCCCUGAUGUCAGUCAGGUCUUGCCCCUUAAUCGGAAGGUUGAAUCUUGUAAGGAUAGCUUCGGAAUCCACUCAACCCUCUUCGUUUGGAAGUUUUUUAAAGAAACGGGGAAAAUUGUUUCCAGUUAACAUUGCACAUGUUAGAGUGUUUAAUAAGAGACUCAUCAAUUUUGGCAACAAAAUCACAGAGCAGCGGAAACAAAUCCUGGAGGUCAGGGCCUGGGAGAGUCCCUCUGCCUGCCUCCCUGAGCCUCUUGGGCCCAAAACCCAGUUCUCUGUCAGUUCCACCCAUUGUUUUCCUGGUUCUGCUCAGUCUGGACAUGAUAGUCCUUAAACAACAGGACAAGGUUAACCCCUGUCCUGAGUUUUCAUUUCUCCUCAGACCUGAACUAGUUCCUGACUUGAGGAUAUGAUGUGCGUGUGUCACUGUCUUUGAUUUCCCUGUGCCAGGUCCACCGCAGGUCCCCCAGCUCUGGUGGAGAACUCACCCUGGGGCGGUGCCGGUGUCAUACUGGCCUCAGGGAGCUGCCUCUCAGCCAGGACGCUUUUGCCGACCUCUCCGUGUUCAUGGAGGGAUAGAACUGUUCAGCUAAAUGUGAGUGUGGUGCUCGGGAACCACGAGCAGACGUGGGGGCGGCGGGGGGGAGAGUCAGACGGGAAGGAAGAGUCACGGAAGGAGGAGGUGGAGUUUUCAAAGAGGAGUCUCCGCGUGUUCUGGGACCGGGCGAGAAAGGCCGGCCUGAACCACCAACAUCCGGUCUCAUUUGGGUCCAAGCCCAAUUCCUAUGGCUAGAGACCUGCUGCUGUUUGAGCAAGGGGUCUGUCUCGUGAGAGGCGUUGGGAGAACGGCAACUCUGGAGUCAGAACCUGGAUUCUAGUCCAGCUCCACUGCUUCCCAGCUGGGCGACUGGGGAGAGUUAGCUGUCCUCCUGUGCUUCUGCCUGCUCACCCGUAAAUGGAGUUAGUGGUAGAGACCUUCCUUACAGGACUGCUGGGAAGAUGAAACAAGAUACGGGAAAUACAGUGCUUGUCAGUUUCUGACCUGUAAUUAACCUCAGAAACAUUAGCUGCAGUGGUCCCAGAGCGGGGCUCUUAACAGGCUUUCUCACACCCAAUUGUUGAAUAUUUUAAAAUGUUGAAACUCUUUCAACCUGCGGGUAACUUAAAAUUGGCUAUGGUGAGGGUGUUUACACCACGGAAAUGGGCAACCACCACCUCUUUCACAGCCCCCCGUGCAGAGCCAGUUUACAGCACAUUACUCGGUAGUGUUUUUAUUUCGUAUGGGUUUUGUUUGGUUUUUCCUGCAAAUAAAGCAGUUCCAGAUGCCCA